RNAcentral lists this non-coding RNA (30 nucleotides) under Mus musculus (house mouse). The record is from RNAcentral. Lineage: Eukaryota; Metazoa; Chordata; Mammalia; Rodentia; Muridae.
UGGAAGGAGAGAACCUAUCCCUGCAGGUUG